RNAcentral lists this ribosomal RNA (253 nucleotides) under uncultured bacterium. RNAcentral describes it as "partial 16S ribosomal RNA". It matches the Rfam family "Bacterial small subunit ribosomal RNA", at positions 524 to 776 of the family's 1533-position model. The record is from RNAcentral.
UACAGAGGUCCCAAGCGUUGUUCGGAUUCAUUGGGCGUAAAGAGCGUGUAGGCGGCCAUACAGGUCCGUUGUGAAAACUCGAGGCUUAACCUCGAGACGUCGAUGGAAACCGUAUGGCUAGAGUCCGGAAGAGGAGAGUGGAAUUCCUGGUGUAGCGGUGAAAUGCGCAGAUAUCAGGAAGAACACCCGUGGCGAAGGCGGCUCUCUGGGACGGUACUGACGCUGAGACGCGAAAGCGUGGGGAGCGAACAGG